UACAGAGGUCUCAAGCGUUGUUCGGAUUCAUUGGGCGUAAAGGGUGCGUAGGCGGCGCGGUAAGUCGGGUGUGAAAUCUCGGGGCUUAACUCCGAAACUGCAUUCGAUACUGCCGUGCUUGAGGACUGGAGAGGAGACUGGAAUUUACGGUGUAGCGGUGAAAUGCGUAGAUAUCGUAAGGUAGACCAGUGGCGAAGGCGGGUCUCUGGACAGUUCCUGACGCUGAGGCACGAAGGCCAGGGGAGCAAACGGG
This 253-nucleotide ribosomal RNA is filed under the name uncultured bacterium. Its description in RNAcentral is "partial 16S ribosomal RNA". It matches the Rfam family "Bacterial small subunit ribosomal RNA", at positions 524 to 776 of the family's 1533-position model. The record is from RNAcentral.